Non-coding RNA from Gemmatimonadetes bacterium 13_1_40CM_69_22, 73 nucleotides. The record is from Rfam. Lineage: Bacteria; Pseudomonadati; Gemmatimonadota.
GACCCGGUAGCUCAGUUGGUAGAGCAACGGACUUUUAAUCCGUAGGUCGCGGGUUCGAUCCCCGCCCGGGUCA